RNAcentral lists this ribosomal RNA (253 nucleotides) under uncultured bacterium. Its description in RNAcentral is "partial 16S ribosomal RNA". It matches the Rfam family "Bacterial small subunit ribosomal RNA", at positions 524 to 776 of the family's 1533-position model. The record is from RNAcentral.
UACAGAGGUCUCAAGCGUGGGUCGGAUUCAUUGGGCGUAAAGGGUGCGUAGGCGGCGCGGUAAGUCGGGUGUGAAAUCUCGGAGCUUAACUCCGAAACUGCAUUCGAUACUGCCGUGCUUGAGGACUGGAGAGGAGACUGGAAUUUACGGUGUAGCGGUGAAAUGCGUAGAUAUCGUAAGGAAGACCAGUGGCGAAGGCGGGUCUCUGGACAGUUCCUGACGCUGAGGCACGAAGGCCAGGGGAGCAAACGGG